GGGCAGCAGCGAGAUGGAAGCUGCAGCACAACAGGAGCGAGUGCUGAGGGCAGCUCCGCCAGAGAUUUGUGGGAGAGCAGUCCUGGGACAGGGAGAGGAGCCCUGCGCGGCCCCAAGCAAGGGGAGAUGGCCAUAAAGUGGAGCACAGGAAGUUCCGCCCAUGGAUGAGAAGGGAGUUCUUCACAGUGAGAGUGGCGCAGCUCUGGAACAGGCUGCCCAGGGAGGCUGUGGCUUCUCCUUGUCUGGAGAUAUUCGAGAACCGCCCGGACACCCACCUGCGCAGCCUGCUGUAGGAGCCCGUUUUGCAGGGGGGUUGGACUCGGUGAUCCCUGGAGGUCCUUCCGAGCCCAGUUCUGUGAUUCUGUGAUUUUAAUCCUUGCUUCUUGCAGCAGUAUGGUGUUUGGUGUUUCAGAAGAGAGAAAAGCAUGGCGGGCAUCAGCUGGAUUUCUGUGGCUGGUAAAGCUGUGCCGAGAACUGGGCUGACUGCUGCCCCUGGAAACAUGCGCAAAGUCUGCAGAGGCAGAGGAAUGACUUUUCUCUCAAAAGUUGAGCUUGUCUAAGGUAACUCACUGGUGGGAGAGCUUCUGCUUUAAAGCAUCAGGUUGUAUAAGUAAGGUAAUUUAAAAAGCAAGCUUGACAGUUCUUUUUUACCUAAGUGGUUUUUUAGCAGGGGAAGGUUGGAGAGGCUUUUUGCUAACGGAAGAUGGAGAGAGGAGAAGCAAGUGAAAGGCACGCUGUGCAUAUCUGCUGCAUACCAUCUGCACCGCUCUCCCCCUUUUGAGAGAGGAGAAAGAAUCACAAAUGCUUGUGGAGAAAAAAGACUCAGGGAUUUCUUCUUUCUUGCUAGCAGAUCUUGAUGCUCUCCUCUUCCUGCCAGUGGGCUGCGUGUCAUGCCAUAGUCCUGCAGUCUCCAGAAGUGACCCCACGUGCUACCAAAACAGAUCACAGACCUGGAUUCAGGCGUUCCUCAUUCUCCCACUGCACAAGUUGUCACAGAGCAGCGUGCUCCUCAAACGUGGUCAUUUUGUGAGGUUACGCAGUGUUUGUGUACUUAUGUAGGAAUGGAAUGUUGUUUCUGCAUUAGAACUAAAGUGUGAGUAUUUGACGUCAUUGUCUCUGCUCCAGUCUUGUGUUGUUUGUUUACUACUACUAUUUAGUACUUAGUACUACUAAGUACUAACAGCUCUUUUUGGGAGUGUUUUUAUUUCAUCAGGAGUCUCUGAGGGUCUCCUUCACUUGCCUGUUAGAUGAAUUUUCCACAUUGGUGCUUGCUCAGUAGGUAGAUGGAGUAAUGAAUGUAUCGGUACAAGGACUGCCGCUGUUAUCUGUCCAGCCAUCUGGAAUACCUCUGAGCCUUGAGUUCCAGACAACAUAGACAUCACGCUCCUAAACAUUACGAUAAUGCCUUUAGAAAUCCCAAACCCUUGACAAUGAUAUCAGUAGGCUCAUUAUGUUGCAAGACUACUGAUUUUUGAUGCUGGUCAGACAGGACCUCAGUGAUGAUAGAAAAUUUAAGCAGGAGAAUGUAAGCCAUUAGCAAUAGAUAAACAUUUAGCUAGCAUCAGUUUCUAUUUAGCCAGUAUGCCCGUGUACAAUUAAGCAUCGGGAAGGUUUGUGAACCUGAAAUACUCAGGCAAUGAGGAAUCGGGAAAAGAUGAGCAUCAAGGUAAUAGGGCAUGUUCUUUGCUUUGUAAUAGGGUUUUGUUUGCUUUUCAUUCAGUAUCAUUUCUUACCAUUACGCAGUGUUUGUCUUGUCUUGUUUUUCAUGUUGCCAAUCAACAUUUCAUUGGAGCUUGGGUGACCCGAAUGCAUACAACUAAGUGUUGACCAAGUGUGAUGUGAAAUGAAGAGGUAGGCUCCAAAACAGGCUUCUAGAUUGGAGACUCCACUAUCAGAUGGCGUUGGCCUUUCAAGCCUCCCCGGGUUGUAGCGCUGGUUGUGCCCUGAUCCUUGGAAAGGGGAACUGAUUCCUUCAUCAUUACCUGAUGGUGACGUCUACUUAUCUUGUGUCCAGUGAGCAGUGGUGGAAAAACUGUGGCUCUCCUGAGCGGUGCAAGGACUCUACUGAGGCUCAUUGUGUUUAUAGUAGAAAACUACAGCCAUAGAUGGAUGCCAAUAUCCACUCCUUACUCUGUCUGGCAAGCUGUGUUGAUCUCUGAAGUUGCUCCCACACCUGUAGUUGUUCUUUGGGCUCGGCAUCAGUUGUCUCUUGCACUCACGUGGCUUUCACCUGGUAUUCUUUCUUUUCCCCCAUCUUUAGGGCUCCCAAGUACUGCUGUGAUGUCUGUGCCUUCUGUCGCUCCCACCAAACAUGGGUUUGUUCUUUUUAGGUUCAAUAUCAUUUAUUGACAUUAUGCAAUGUUUCUCAUUUUUCUUGUGUUUCAUGUUGCCAAUCUACGCCUAGUUGGAGCUACAGCGAGCCCAAAUGCUGACUGCUCUGCUUUGACCAAGUGAGAUGCAAAAAGAAGAGCUUGCUUCCUGAGGUUUUUCUUGUGAUAAGACUCUCAAUGAUUUGUUAAGGAGGCAAGUGAUGGGUGCUAACCGUGUGACAAUCGACAUCACUUUGGGAACAUUUGAGAGCCCCUUCCUCCAGAGCUGCUUGCCUCCAGAAUAGAGUGCUCAGGAGUGUUCACUGGCGGAAGAUCUGGCCUGUGACUAAACAGCUCCAGCUUGGUAUGGGAAAAUUGGGGAAUGAUAUCAUCGUGUUCUGUGAAAAACAAGAUGCAGAAGGGCAUCCCUGCUCCCUCUUGUCUGCUGGCAAGGCCCAGAAGAUGGGAACAGAGGAGUUUCUGCUGAGAUCCCAGAGCCAGAAGCUGCCGCUCCAAGGAGAGCUGACUCAACCACAUUGGAUUUGAGCUGUCACUCCAAAGACAGCUGACUUGACCACUUUGAAACUAUUGAAAAGGGGCCGUCAUCGCCAUGGUCAUGGCCGUCGUUCUCAUCAUUCUCCUCGUCGUCAACAGAACAAUGCCUGACGACCCACCACUACUGAAGAUCAAAGACUGAAUUACAAACCACACUGGAUCCAUGGUGGUGACUGUCUCCCUCUUACUUCCUAUAAAGACUCCUUGCUUCUUCUUUCCUAUCUUUCCUAUUGCCCUCCUUCCCUUCCCCAUUACCCUAAUUCAUAAUAGCAUCCGUCCUCCCCUUCCCCAUUUCCCUAAUUACAAUUUGUAAUAAAUUGGUCGGACCAACAUUUGAACCAUU
Tympanuchus pallidicinctus (lesser prairie-chicken) is the source of this 3207-nucleotide long non-coding RNA. RefSeq lists it as uncharacterized. The transcript is spliced from 4 exons. NCBI's taxonomy places the organism in Eukaryota, Metazoa, Chordata, Aves, Galliformes, Phasianidae. The record is from RefSeq and is a predicted model, not a curated record.